Molecule: ribosomal RNA, 301 nt
Filed under: uncultured bacterium
Lineage: Bacteria
Description: partial 16S ribosomal RNA
Rfam family: Bacterial small subunit ribosomal RNA
Source: RNAcentral
CAGCAGCCACGGUAAUACGAAGGGGGCUAGCGUUGCUCGGAAUGACUGGGCGUAAAGGGCGCGUAGGCGGAUGGCACAGUCAGAUGUGAAAUUCCCGGGCUUAACCUGGGGGCUGCAUUUGAUACGUGUUGUCUAGAGUGAGGAAGAGGGUCGUGGAAUUCCCAGUGUAGAGGUGAAAUUCGUAGAUAUUGGGAAGAACACCGGUGGCGAAGGCGGCGACCUGGUCUUUUACUGACGCUGAGGCGCGAAAGCGUGGGGAGCAAACAGGAUUAGAUACCCCUGUAGUCCCUGUCUCUUAUAC